This is a long non-coding RNA of Thamnophis elegans (Western terrestrial garter snake), 229 nucleotides long. RefSeq lists it as uncharacterized. The record is from RefSeq and is a predicted model, not a curated record. Lineage: Eukaryota; Metazoa; Chordata; Lepidosauria; Squamata; Natricidae. The transcript is spliced from 3 exons.
CUGGGUGACUUUGGGCCAAUCACUUUCUCUCAGCUGAACUUGUUGUGGAGGGGAAAAUAAAAGUUGGAACAUUAGAGUUUUCCGACUCCUUUGAAAAAGACGGAAUGAAGAUUAUCUGAUGUCUUUGACUGCACUGCACUAUUUUUUCUCCAGGUUUUUGACAGAGAGCAGUCAUGGAAACAUGGAACACCACCUUUGGUUAUGGCCCUGGAAAUAUAAGACUUUCUGU